UCCAACAAAUUUCAUUCAUCACCAACACUUCUAGAUUCAGACAAACGAGUCAACACCAGGUAACUACAAGCACUGCCAGAAACUAGCGAUCUAAGAGGAGGUGAACUUGGUGACGGCCUUGGUGCCCUCGGAGACGGCGUGCUUGGCGAGCUCGCCGGGGAGGACGAGGCGGACGGAGGUCUGGAUCUCCCGGGAGGCGAUGGUGGGCUUCUUGUUGUAGCGGGCGAGCUUGGCGGCCUCGCCGGCGAGCUUCUCGAAGAUGUCGUUGAUGAAGGAGU
Molecule: long non-coding RNA, 278 nt
Filed under: Triticum aestivum (bread wheat)
Lineage: Eukaryota; Viridiplantae; Streptophyta; Magnoliopsida; Poales; Poaceae
Description: long non-coding RNA (TAES_LNC023234)
Source: RNAcentral